RNAcentral lists this small nucleolar RNA (170 nucleotides) under Chlorocebus sabaeus (green monkey). RNAcentral describes it as "Small nucleolar RNA U3". It matches the Rfam family "Small nucleolar RNA U3". From Rfam's summary of the family: Small nucleolar RNAs (snoRNAs) are involved in the processing and modification of rRNA in the nucleolus. There are two main classes of snoRNAs: the box C/D class, and the box H/ACA class. The record is from Rfam by way of RNAcentral. Lineage: Eukaryota; Metazoa; Chordata; Mammalia; Primates; Cercopithecidae.
AAGUCACGCUUAGCUUUUGCAAGUAUUUGUUUUGCAGCAUUGAAAAACCCCUCAGCGUUCUGCCCUGAGUCUGAGGCUGGUGUUGCUUGGCUGCAGCUGCCAUUUGCCACUGAUGAUCAUUCUUCUCUUCCCCUAUGAGAGUAAGAAGGAAAGGAUGAAGUCUGAGUGGU